UUUGUUUUUUUUCGGAGGGGGAAGGGGUUGUAAAACGGAAACGGAUUUUACUGAACGCCAAAGAGAAUUUUCAUGAUGGUUUACCAAUCUUUCUAACCGUCUCACCGCCGACACAGGCCCAAGUCAGGAGUGUGUUGGAAUUCUCUCCUUCAACAAGACGUACUGCAACAAUUUACAUAGUCUUCUUCAACAGCAUCUUCCAAACAUGCAAACUCUUCAACCUCCAAGGAAAAGAUCAACAGGUGCAUGUGAAUGCAUCCUUCACCAUGCAAGUUCCCCUUUAAGACAUGUACUGUCCUGAUUUGGAACUAUAUUGUUAUUCUUUCACUGUUGCAGGAAUCCUGGAACUCACUUCCUUUCAGAAAUGCAGGUGUACCCACACCAGAUGAACUGACUUCAUGGCCAAGAAAGUGAUUCAGCACCACAUUCUCAGGACAAUUAGGUUGUAGCAGCAAUGUCCACAUUUCAUGAAAGAAUAAAAAUACUGAAUACCUAAA
This is a long non-coding RNA of Rhincodon typus (whale shark), 497 nucleotides long. RefSeq lists it as uncharacterized. The record is from RefSeq and is a predicted model, not a curated record. The transcript has 2 exons. Lineage: Eukaryota; Metazoa; Chordata; Chondrichthyes; Orectolobiformes; Rhincodontidae.